AUUGAACGCUGGCGGCAUGCCUUACACAUGCAAGUCGAACGGCAGCAUGAUCUAGCUUGCUAGAUUGAUGGCGAGUGGCGAACGGGUGAGUAAUACAUCGGAACGUGCCCUGUAGUGGGGGAUAACUAGUCGAAAGAUUAGCUAAUACCGCAUACGACCUGAGGGUGAAAGUGGGGGACCGCAUGGCCUCAUGCUAUAGGAGCGGCCGAUGUCUGAUUAGCUAGUUGGUGAGGUAAAGGCUCACCAAGGCGACGAUCAGUAGCUGGUCUGAGAGGACGAUCAGCCACACUGGGACUGAGACACGGCCCAGACUCCUACGGGAGGCAGCAGUGGGGAAUUUUGGACAAUGGGGGCAACCCUGAUCCAGCAAUGCCGCGUGUGUGAAGAAGGCCUUCGGGUUGUAAAGCACUUUUGUCCGGAAAGAAAUCGCACUUACUAAUAUUAGGUGUGGAUGACGGUACCGGAAGAAUAAGGACCGGCUAACUACGUGCCAGCCGCCGCCGUAA
Molecule: ribosomal RNA, 506 nt
Filed under: uncultured bacterium
Lineage: Bacteria
Description: partial 16S ribosomal RNA
Rfam family: Bacterial small subunit ribosomal RNA
Source: RNAcentral